This 477-nucleotide long non-coding RNA is filed under the name Pan troglodytes (chimpanzee). Its description in RNAcentral is "long non-coding RNA NONPTRT000658". Lineage: Eukaryota; Metazoa; Chordata; Mammalia; Primates; Hominidae. The record is from RNAcentral.
GGCUCACUGCAGCCUCAACUUUCUAGGCUCAAGCAAUCCUCCCACCUCAGCCUCCCGAGCAGCUGGGACUACAGAUGCACAUCACCACACGUGGCUAAUUUUUGUAUUUUCUGUAGGGACGGGGUCUCACCAUGUUGCUCAGCCUGGUCUCAAACUCCUGGGUUCACGUGAUCUUUCCACCUCAGCCUUCCAAAAUGCUGGGCCUUCCCUGUCUCCAAGGAGACCAACCUCUCUCCUGGGCCUCUCCUGGGAUAUCCCACAGACAUCUCAGACUCGGCAUGCUCAGCAUUAAGUUUAUUAUCAAACCAAAUGUGCUCCUCUUCAUGCACCAUCUCAGGGACCUGUGCCAAAGGCUGCCCAGCCACUGGGGUGGAGGGCAUGGCCACCCGGCCCAUCUGACCUGCAAAUUUGUCAUGUGACUCCAGUAUUUAAAAUCCUGCCAGGAUGUAGCCCAGCGGCUCUGCUUGGCCUCCAAGG